This 5437-nucleotide long non-coding RNA is filed under the name Sus scrofa (pig). RNAcentral describes it as "lncRNA (ENSSSCG00060016423.1)". Lineage: Eukaryota; Metazoa; Chordata; Mammalia; Artiodactyla; Suidae. The record is from RNAcentral.
AAAAACCCAUUGAAUGUACAAAGAGAGACCCCUAAUAUAAACGAUAGACUUUAGUCAAUAAAAGUCUAAAUGAUAGACUUUAAUCAACUAAUGCAUCAACCUGAAUACUAAAUCAUCAGCUGUAACAAAUGUAAUGCACUAAAACAUGUUAUUAGGAACCAACUCCGUGUUGGGGGUCGGGGGAGCAGGAUACAAGAAUUCUGUACUUGCUGCUCCAUUUUUCUGUAAACUUAAAACUGCUCUAAAAAUAAAGUCUAUUAAUUUGUAAAAAUAUAUCAGAUUGUACAUUUUAAAAAUAUAGAGAGAGUUCUUUCAGAGAGUUAAUACAAUGUUUUUCCCUGAAAAAAGUCAUUGUAAAAAACUAAAAGUUGGGAAUUGUCUUACUAAAAUAAGAUUUGAUGUAGAUGGGUUCAUUACUAUGUUAUUGCUGCUUUUCACACAUACAUGCAGAGAGAAAAGGAAAGGAAAGAAUAAAAAAGAAAAAGAAAAAGAAAUCGAAAGAAAAAAAAGAAAAGAAAAAAGUUAUUUGGAGACAUAAAGGGAAUCAACCUUGAAUGCCUCCCUCCUCCUCCAGGCUGAGCAAUCUUGAAUACAGAGAAAUCUAAAGUCAGUGAUUCCUAAGGUGUGAUUCCUCCAGCUGCAGCAGCUUCCACUGGGACUUAUUAGAAGGCAGGGGUGGGGUGCAGCAAGCUGUGUUUUCCUUCCAGGUGAGUGUGAUGCUUCCUGAGGUUCCACAGCCAGUGCUUUAGGUCCAUGGAUCUCUAUACUUUUAGUGGACACAUAAACUCACAAACAAGUCUCCCAUGUUUGAAAACAGGGCUUGAGCAUAAGACUGGCACUAGGGGGAAGCGGGGGAGGUGCCCAAACACGCAGAAAUCAAGACAGGUAAUACUUUAAUGCAAUGUUUUAAAAAUUAUAAUAAUGCAAAAAAAACUAUAAUGAAUAAAAUAUCAACAUUUGCAAUCCGCCUGAUUUAUUUCCCCUUUCCUCUCAGGCUGUAAUGUGGUUCCACAAGGCACUGCUUCCCCAAGGGGUGGGGGCCGGGCAGAGGAGGGGAGGAGGGGUUCAGGGCUACUGUCACUGAAGCUAGUUCCACUCCUUUCUCCAGACUGAAGCACAUACCCUGUACCAUACCACCCUUCUUGAGUCAUGCCUCCUCAUUACCUGUUUAGCCCUCCCUUCACUAUAUACAUUAAAUAUGAUACUAAUGGAGUAGAAAAUGUUAGACUUUCCAGAAGAAAUUAAAUAAUUACUGUUCUCCAGAAAACUUACCAUUUCUGCAGGAAGUUGCCAACUGGAGAUCCGGCACUUGCCAUCUGCUUCUACAAGGAUUGAAUCAUGAGCUGCUCCAGUUGCUGACCUUCAACACCCCCUGAAAGAGUUCAGGAUGGAGAUCAGUAGUGAGGUGCUCUGUGCUCUGGGAAAAACUGGGAGAACAGCUCUUCAGAUAGAUAUUUUCAGGAGACUUAUGAGCCUAUUUCUUGUAUUCCCCUGUAUCUAGAAAAGUACUAAAAUUCUUCAUGGGGAUGCCUGCUCCCUGUGACUAGCAGUAGCCUUCUCAAGACUAGCAGUGAACUUCUGCAAAAUGUGUGCUUGACUGUAUGUACCUUGCUUCAACGGAAUCACAGAUAUAUGGACGUCCUCCCCUACCUCUUUGGAGUGGUUUCUCAGAGCUAUCUGAAAUGCUGCCUCCCGGGCUAUAGUCCUCAUCUUGCCCUGAAUAAAACACUAUGUAGCACUGAGAACUAUGUCUGGUCACUUAUGAUGGAGCAUGAUAAUGUGAGAAAAAAGAAUGUAUACAUGUAUGUGUAAAUGGGUCACCAUGCUGUAUAGUAGAAAAUUGACAGAACACUGUAAACCAGCUACAAUGGAAAAAUAAAAAUCAUUAUAUAUAUAAAAAAAUAAAACAACUCACAACUCUUACGUUCUUUCCUUCUUUCUUUUUUUUUUUUUGUCAACAGAGUUUACACACAGAAAUAAAUAGCAAAGAACUCAUAAAAUAAUAUCUCUACAUGCAAGCUAUAAUAGUGUUAAGGUUUAAAUUUGGGAGAACCACCAGGGAAAAGAGGGAGUCAGAUUAGUUUCAUUUGAUAACUUCAUAGAAAUGCUUUGUGAACUGCAAGUCCAUCACUGCCGAAUGUUAGCUGUGGCUCUCCUCUUCCUGGGAAAUGGCAACUUCAAAACACAUUUGGAAGGAAGUGAGGUCUAUAGACUAGGCAGAGAGGCUUAGAGAAGAAACAAAAAUCUGGAAGAAUAAAUGAGAAAAUGAAGUGUUGGAAAUGAAAAACAGAUGGGCUUAGCUCCUGUAGGAAUAAAGAAAACUGAGGCCAAAGAAGAAGAGUGGGUGUUAGGGAGGAAGGGCAAAGUGGGGCCAAUUGUGUCGGAGGAAGGCAUCGUGUGUGACUGAGCAUUGCUCAGCUGAGCCUUACCUGGAUUCUGAAAGCUGAGACACUGGAGCUCCUGCUUCAAGUUAGAAGUGGAAAGUCAUCAAGAGGAGAAAAUGACAUGAAAACUGAAUGAAAUGGUCAUUUUCAAUUUCAAGUGAAGUCUCCCGCUGGAGACUCUUUUAAGUGGUGGGGGUGGGAGCCGUCCAGAGCAAUGGUUUCUUUUCUUUUUCUUUUUUUUAAGAGAAUUAAAAACAAAAUGAACGGAAGCUCAGUUUGGGAGCCCUGACUGAUCCUGGACACAUGAGUCCUUCUGAAUAGAGACAGGACAGCAGCAUCCCUGUGGGAAUCUACUGCCCCAGUGGUUGCGUCUUCUCUGAGCUUGACAAACAGUUUUCUUGGUGGAGAAAUGGAUUUGUCUCUCUUGGUAAUUGUUGCUGAAGACCUGCAGCUGAGAUCCAUGGGGGCUGCAGGAGCCCAGCCAGGACAAGGCUCAGCAGGUGGUAGGAACAAGGGCUCUGGCUUAAACUGAGCUAACAGGUCAAGAAGAGUCAGACUGGGCAAGGCGAAGCUCAUCCUGAACUUGUUGCUAAGAAGUAAACUGCCAGUAGAAACUAAGGUCAGGUGCCAACUGAGCAGCAAUGCUACUGCUUUCUGGAACUGAGAAGGAAAGGGGUGCCUCAGGGUUGUGGGCAUGGCUUAUAAGAACCAUAAGUAUUUGAGAUCAGUUUCCCUGGGAUGACCCAUUAGAGACUUCAUGGAGAGGUGAUGGCACUGGAACAGAGUCUAGGAAAGUGUGAUUAUUCACCAGGAUCAGGGCUUGUCUAUCACCUAGGUUUAGCAAAGUGUCUAAUUAGAGACAUCACUCAGAUGGAAGUAAGAGAGCGUGGGAUGUCCCCUGCAAAGCGUAGACUUUGUGGAAUAGGAAAGUGGAGGGAUGGGUUCUGACAAACUGGCGCUCACUGUCCCCAUCACAUCUAGUGACACAUGGGCUGCCCUCAUCAGAACAGUCUUCAUCCUGACUGGGUCCAAGAGAGGGAACCACUGGCCAGAGCUGAAGUGUGGCACAGCUCUGUACUUGAGGAGAUGAUGACUUUGGGACCAAGACAAGGGAGAAGAAAACAGAGGUUCUGAGAGGAGAGAAUUCUACCAGCCUGGAGGCCAUGCCCACUGAAGUGAAGGAAAGAUAUGCAAAGCUUAGGUCUAUAAGUUGUAUCAAUAGAUAAGGGUUUUCCUUAAAAUUAAAAAAAAAGUUCUGUGUGUAUAAAUAAAAUAUAUAGAUAAUAUACAGAGACAAUAUAAGUAAUAUAUUGCCUAUAUAUUAUAUUACAUAGAUUGUCUAUAUAUUAUGUGUGUAUAUAUAUGUGUGUGUGUGUAUAUAUAUAUUCUUUUAGAGUUGGAUAAUGGUCUCCUUUGAAAAUACUAACUUGCCUCUGAUAAACUGGGAGUAAAUGAUUUUUGUCACUACUUGAAAACAAAAAUAAGGCCAAAAAGUUAAGAUCUUUGUAUUAGAGAGUGAAGAGUUUUUGAGACUCUUGAGUUAUGCAGUGAUGUGAUGAAAUCAGUCUUCGAGAAGAAAGAUCUGAGCAGCACUGCCUAGGAUGCAUUUGAAGAGAAGAUGGACGAUGGAAAGCCUAGUAUUCCAGGCUGUUGAAAUGGUUUAAAAAUAUAGGACUUGAUGGUAAUGGUGUAGAGGGACAAAUCUCUAAGGACAAAAUGUGCAGAGCUGCCUAUAGGUAGAAAAACAGGAGCAAUGGCUCUGUGUCUUCUGAAGGAGGCACUAGAGGAAUGUUGGAGCUCUUGGCAGCAGUGAGGAAACCAGGCUGGAGUGACUAUUUGUAAGGGAGGGGCUGAUAAUGAAUCAUCUCAAUGUUAGAUUUUAGGACAAGUGGAACAUCCAUAUUUUAUGGGCAACUAGAGCUACAGCAAUGGAGAGAGAGUGAGAGGUCAAGUAAAAUUUAGAAAAUAAAAUACCAAAGUUGAAGCUAUGUGCAUAGCGGUACAGCCAAGAACCAGAGGCACAAACAUUGUAAUAACAACACUGGUAAUCAUAACUUCUACUACUUACUGAAUGGCUACCAUGCUCCAGCCACUCUACCAGCAGUUUUAUUUGUAUCUAGACACUUUGAAAUAGAUCUGGCUCUAUUUUAGAUGGGGAAUUGAGGCUCUAAGAGAUUUAAGGUCUUACCUAAGGUCACACAUUGAAGAACUAGGAUGAGAUUUCUGUCUACUGAUUCUCAAUCCAAUCUUUUCCCACAACCUGUUUCUUUUCAUCUAUGGAGGUUCAGUCUUCUUGUCAUAAAACGUUUGAGAUGCAGAUAUGGAAAUAUGGAUAUCUUGUGAAUACCUCUGGAGCAACUUUAGAUAGAAGAGAGUAAAGGAACUCAGGGUAUAAACCCUGGCUGGGCCCAAGAGAGACACAGGUGUGAUAUAGACGGUGGCCGAGAAACUUGUCAUGUCCUCCUAUGAUGAUGGAAAGUCAAUAAAGAAAGCAUCUCCCCUCUUGCUCUAAAUCCAACACAGCACAAAAGUAGAACAUUGAGAUAAAAUUUGGUUUUGAAACACUUAGUUGCCUCCCCCGACUGAUGCAAAGGGAAAGAAGAUCUAGACAAUGGCUCUAAAGAGAAGCAGAAGUUCCAAUCGGGAGUUGAGCAGAGGUAAACAGGCUUUAGAGCUUCAUUAAUAAACUCCCAGGACAUGUCCACAUCCACAUCAGUUAUAAGUCCUCUCAUGUUCUCCUCUCUUCCCCUUGGCCCUAAAUGUUCCAAAACCAAAUGUAAGCAAUUUUUAUCCUAUUUUCCUAACACUGAAUAUAGUAGUUACAUGUAAGUUUUGAGGUCAAACGACAAGAUUCUUCAGUUGAGGCCCUAAAGGAGCAUUUAAUAAUCAGUAAACAUGUGCUAUUCUCUGGUAGACACCAAGAUAUGAAGAUAAAGUAGACAUUUCCUGCCAUCCAGAAACUCACCAUCUUUACACAGGCAAUAGUGUAUCACACCACGUGGUGAAAGACUAGAGAAGGAUGAACUGUAUUCUGGGAAAAAAAAAACAAAAAA